Molecule: ribosomal RNA, 344 nt
Filed under: uncultured fungus
Lineage: Eukaryota; Fungi
Description: bacterial SSU rRNA
Rfam family: Eukaryotic small subunit ribosomal RNA
Source: RNAcentral
CUAGUUCCCUGAUCUAGCUGACGGAAGUUGAGGCAAUAACAGGUCUGUGAUGCCUUAGAUGUUCUGGGCCGCACGCGCGCUACACUGACAGACCAGCGAGUUCAUAACCUUGGCCGGAAGGUCUGGGUAAUCUUGUGAAACUCUGUCGUGCUGGGGAUAGAGCAUUGCAAUUAUUGCUCCUCAACGAGGAAUUCCUAGUAAGCGUGAGUCAUCAGCUCGCGUUGAUUCAUUACGUCCCUGCCCUUUGUACACACCGCCCGUCGCUACUACCGAUUGAAUGGCUUAGUGAGACCUCCUCCGGAUUGGCUUUGGGGAGCUUGGUCAUUUAGAGGGAAGUAACUAGC